RNAcentral lists this ribosomal RNA (422 nucleotides) under uncultured bacterium. RNAcentral's name for it is "partial 16S ribosomal RNA". It matches the Rfam family "Bacterial small subunit ribosomal RNA", at positions 360 to 774 of the family's 1533-position model. The record is from RNAcentral.
AAUCUUCCACAAUGGGCGAAAGCCUGAUGGAGCAACGCCGCGCGAGUGAAGAAGGUUUUCGGAUCGUAAAACUCUGCUGUAAGGGAAGAACAAGUACAGUAGUAACUGGCUGCACCUUGACGGUACCUUCUUAGAAAGCAACGGCUAACUACGGGCCAGCAGCCGCGGUAAUACGUAGGUGGCAAGCGUUGUCCGGAAUUAUUGGGCGUAAAGCGCGCGCAGGCGGUCCUUUAAGUCUGAUGGGAAAGCCCAAGGCUCAACCGUGGAGGGUCAUUGGAAACUGGGGGACUUGAGUGCAGAAGAGGAAAGUGGAAUUCCAAGUGUAGCGGUGAAAUGCGUAGAGAUUUGGAGGAACACCAGUGGCGAAGGCGACUUUCUGGUCUGUAACUGACGCUGAGGCGCGAAAGCGUGGGGAGCAAACA